CCUACGGGAGGCUGCAGUGGGGAAUAUUGGGCAAUGGGCGCAAGCCUGACCCAGCAACGCCGCGUGAAGGAAGAAGUCUUUCGGAUUGUAAACUUCUUUUCUCAGGGACGAAGCAAGUGACGGUACCUAAGGAAUAAGCCACGGCUAACUACCUACCAACAGCCGCCGGAAUACGUAGGUGGCAAGCGUUAGUCGGCUUUACUGGGUGGAAGGGGAGGGUAGGCGGGACUGCAAGUCAGAUGUGAAAACCAUUGGCUCAAACUAUGGAGUGCAUAUGAAACUGCAGUGCUUGAGUACUGGAGAGGCAGACGGAAUUCCGAGUGUAGCGGUGAAAUGCGUAGAUAUUAGGAGGAACACCAGUGGCGAAGGCGGUUUGCUGGACAGCAACUGACGCUGAGGCGCGAAAGCGUGGGGAGCAAACAGGAUUAGAUACCCGAGUAGUC
This 443-nucleotide ribosomal RNA is filed under the name uncultured bacterium. Its description in RNAcentral is "partial 16S ribosomal RNA". It matches the Rfam family "Bacterial small subunit ribosomal RNA", at positions 338 to 795 of the family's 1533-position model. The record is from RNAcentral.